GAUCAUGGCUCAGAUUGAACGCUGGCGGCAUGCCUUACACAUGCAAGUCGAACGGCAGCACGGGUGCUUGCACCUGGUGGCGAGUGGCGAACGGGUGAGUAAUACAUCGGAACGUACCUUAUCGUGGGGGAUAACGCAGCGAAAGCUGUGCUAAUACCGCAUACGCCCUGAGGGGGAAAGCGGGGGAUCGAAAGACCUCGCGCGAUUAGAGCGGCCGAUGCCUGAUUAGCUUGUUGGUGGGGUAAAAGCCCACCAAGGCGACGAUCAGUAGCUGGUCUGAGAGGACGAUCAGCCACACUGGGACUGAGACACGGCCCAGACUCCUACGGGAGGCAGCAGUGGGGAAUUUUGGACAAUGGGGGAAACCCUGAUCCAGCAAUGCCGCGUGAGUGAAGAAGGCCUUCGGGUUGUAAAGCUCUUUUGUCAGGGAAGAAACACCGGCUCUAACACAGUCCGGGAAUGACGGUACC
Molecule: ribosomal RNA, 470 nt
Filed under: Polynucleobacter sp. Fw70-21
Lineage: Bacteria; Pseudomonadati; Pseudomonadota; Betaproteobacteria; Burkholderiales; Burkholderiaceae
Description: bacterial SSU rRNA
Rfam family: Bacterial small subunit ribosomal RNA
Source: RNAcentral